AACGCACAUUGCGCCCGCCAGUAUUCUGGCGGGCAUGCCUGUCUGAGCGUCGUUUCGACCCUCGCGCCCGGCUUCUGUCGGGGGCGGUGUUGGGGAUCGGCCACACCCUUUACUGGGCGGCCGUCCCCUAAAUCCAGUGGCGACCACGCUGUAGCCUCCCCUGCGUAGUACUAAAACCACCUCGCAGGCGGAGAGCGGUGCGGCCCGCCGUAAAACCCCCAACUUUUACAAGGUCGACCUCAGAUCAGGUAGGAAUACCCGCUGAACUUAA
RNAcentral lists this unclassified non-coding RNA (271 nucleotides) under uncultured fungus. RNAcentral's name for it is "sequence contains ITS2". The stretch from base 1 to 52 matches the Rfam family "5.8S ribosomal RNA", at positions 103 to 154 of the family's 154-position model. The record is from RNAcentral. Lineage: Eukaryota; Fungi.